RNAcentral lists this ribosomal RNA (898 nucleotides) under Curtobacterium sp. Its description in RNAcentral is "bacterial SSU rRNA". It matches the Rfam family "Bacterial small subunit ribosomal RNA", at positions 554 to 1450 of the family's 1533-position model. Lineage: Bacteria; Bacillati; Actinomycetota; Actinomycetes; Micrococcales; Microbacteriaceae. The record is from RNAcentral.
UUGGGCGUAAGAGCUCGUAGGCGGUUUGUCGCGUCUGCUGUGAAAUCCCGAGGCUCAACCUCGGGCUUGCAGUGGGUACGGGCAGACUAGAGUGCGGUAGGGGAGAUAGGAAUUCCUGGUGUAGCGGUGGAAUGCGCAGAUAUCAGGAGGAACACCGAUGGCGAAGGCAGAUCUCUGGGCCGUAACUGACGCUGAGGAGCGAAAGCAUGGGGAGCGAACAGGAUUAGAUACCCUGGUAGUCCAUGCCGUAAACGUUGGGCGCUAGAUGUAGGGACCUUUCCACGGUUUCUGUGUCGUAGCUAACGCAUUAAGCGCCCCGCCUGGGGAGUACGGCCGCAAGGCUAAAACUCAAAGGAAUUGACGGGGGCCCGCACAAGCGGCGGAGCAUGCGGAUUAAUUCGAUGCAACGCGAAGAACCUUACCAAGGCUUGACAUACACCGGAAACGGCCAGAGAUGGUCGCCCCCUUGUGGUCGGUGUACAGGUGGUGCAUGGUUGUCGUCAGCUCGUGUCGUGAGAUGUUGGGUUAAGUCCCGCAACGAGCGCAACCCUCGUUCUAUGUUGCCAGCGGGUUAUGCCGGGGACUCAUAGGAGACUGCCGGGGUCAACUCGGAGGAAGGUGGGGAUGACGUCAAAUCAUCAUGCCCCUUAUGUCUUGGGCUUCACGCAUGCUACAAUGGCCGGUACAAAGGGCUGCGAUACCGUAAGGUGGAGCGAAUCCCAAAAAGCCGGUCUCAGUUCGGAUUGAGGUCUGCAACUCGACCUCAUGAAGUCGGAGUCGCUAGUAAUCGCAGAUCAGCAACGCUGCGGUGAAUACGUUCCCGGGCCUUGUACACACCGCCCGUCAAGUCAUGAAAGUCGGUAACACCCGAAGCCGGGUGCCUAACCCUUGUGGAAGG